RNAcentral lists this ribosomal RNA (1239 nucleotides) under Triticum aestivum (bread wheat). RNAcentral describes it as "partial small subunit ribosomal RNA". Lineage: Eukaryota; Viridiplantae; Streptophyta; Magnoliopsida; Poales; Poaceae. The record is from RNAcentral.
AUGUCCCUGAUCCCGCGCGCUGCUCCGGCGGCGAGCAUGGCGUUCGCCGGACGGGACCCCGCUGUCAUCCCCCUCCUCAAGAUGCUACCGCUGCUCGGUCUCCUCGCCAUCUCCUCGGCCGCAGAGCCCCCGGCGGCGUCGUCUCCCUCCGCCGUGCACAACAACAACUGGGCCGUGCUCGUCUGUACCUCCCGCUUCUGGUUUAAUUAUAGACAUAUGGCCAACACGCUGUCUUUGUACAGGACUGUUAAGAGAUUAGGAAUACCUGACGAGAGGAUAAUACUUAUGUUGGCUGAUGAUAUGGCUUGUAAUCCUCGGAACAAUUAUCCUGCCCAAGUGUUCAACAAUGAGAACCACCAGAUUAAUCUUUAUGGUGACAAUGUUGAGGUUGAUUACCGAGGUUAUGAGGUUACAGUUGAAAACUUUUUGCGAGUUUUGACUGGAAGACAUGAGAGCGCUGUACCAAGAUCAAAGCGUCUCUUAAGUGAUGAAGGAAGCCAUAUUCUUUUGUACAUGACUGGACAUGGUGGGGAUGAAUUUUUGAAGUUCCAAGAUAACGAAGAACUUCAGAGCCAUGAUUUAGCAGAUGCAGUAAAGCAAAUGAAGAAGCAUAGAUUUAAAGAGUUGUUGAUAAUGGUAGAUACCUGCCAGGCUGCUACUCUUUUUUCACAGCUUCAAUCACCUGGUGUUUUGGCGAUUGGUAGCAGCAUGAAGGGGGAAAACUCUUACUCUCACCAUCUCGACUCAGACAUUGGUGUUUCUGUUGUGGAUAGAUUUACCUUCCAUACACUUGCUUUCUUUGAGAAGCUGAACAUGUAUAGCAAUGCUUCAUUGAACAGUCUUUUCAACUCAUACGACCCUUCUAUGCUGCUGUCUACUGCAUAUUAUCGAAUGGAUCUUUACAAGCGUGCAUUAAACGAGGUCCCAGUGACAAAUUUCUUUGGAUCAGUCAUGAAGACUAUCCACACUGAUUCAGCCUACACAGGCUUUCUAGCUGCACAUGAUGCGGAACUCCCCUUUUCUGUCGGAAAUAAUAUACUUGAUCAUGUCAUGUUGCAGAAUGAGGCUAGUGCAAGAAGAUCGAACAUAGAAGAGAUGAAUGAGGCACAAUUAACGUCCCAUGGAUGGACAGAGGUCCUGCUAGAGCAGCUGGAAGGCAAAAAUUCUGAUGUUGUUGUGAUGUAUUGUCUGGGAACUAUGGGCAUAUUGCUGGCAAUUUCAACCUGGCUAUCAAUGUAG